Molecule: ribosomal RNA, 497 nt
Filed under: uncultured bacterium
Lineage: Bacteria
Description: partial 16S ribosomal RNA
Rfam family: Bacterial small subunit ribosomal RNA
Source: RNAcentral
GAUGAACGCUGGCGGCGUGCCUAAUACAUGCAAGUCGAGCGAACAGACGAGGAUCUUGUUCCUCUGACGUUAGGGGCGGACGGGUGUGUAACACGUGUAUAAUCUACCUAUAAGACUGGGAUAACUUCGGGAAACCGGAGCUAAUACCGUAUAGUAUAUUGAACCGUAUGGUUCAAUAGUGAAAGACGGCUUUGCUGUCACUUAUAGAUGGUUCCGCGCUGCAUUAGCUGGUUGGUAAGGUAACGGCCUAUCAAGGCUACGAUGCGUAGCCGACCUGAGAGAGUGAUCGGCCACACUGGAGCGGAGACGCGGACCAGAGUCCUACGAGAGGCAGCAGUAGGGAACCUUCCGCAGUAGGCGAGAGCCUGGCGGAACAACGCCGAGUCAGAGGUGGAGAUCUUCGGAUCGUAAAGCUCGGUUAUUAGGGAAAAACCGAUGUCUAAGUAACUAUACACUUAGUGACGGUACCUAAUCAGGAAGCCACGGCUAACUACGUG